GUUCUCUUGCAAGCAAAUUAAAUGUUGUCAAACGGGUGUCUUCAGUUGUUUGCCCAGCAAGCAUUUCAGCUGGAGCAGAGGUAGUGGAGCCUCAUCUGUCUUUCAAAGAGGUUUCAAAUCCACAGAAGCAGAAUCUGUUUAUCAGUAAGUUGAACGUUUGCUGCGAGAUCAUUGAUUCUAUCGAUCCAGCUAAACGGCAAGAUCUUAAGCGUGAAACAUUGAUUGAGCUGCAGGUCGCACCAUAUAAGGGAAGGAAGGGUGAGUCAAAUUGGGGUCUUAACACAUCUAGAGAAUUACAAGUACUCAAUCGUAUCUGGAAUCUUGAAGAACAGCAUGCAUCUAAUAUAUCAUUGGUAAAAG
This is a long non-coding RNA of Rosa rugosa (rugosa rose), 360 nucleotides long. RefSeq lists it as uncharacterized. The record is from RefSeq and is a predicted model, not a curated record. NCBI's taxonomy places the organism in Eukaryota, Viridiplantae, Streptophyta, Magnoliopsida, Rosales, Rosaceae. The transcript has 2 exons.